This 440-nucleotide ribosomal RNA is filed under the name uncultured bacterium. RNAcentral's name for it is "partial 16S ribosomal RNA". It matches the Rfam family "Bacterial small subunit ribosomal RNA", at positions 339 to 795 of the family's 1533-position model. The record is from RNAcentral.
CUACGGGUGGCACCAGUAGGGAAUAUUGGGCAAUGGGCGAAAGCCUGACCCAGCAACGCCGCGUGUGCGAAGAAGGCCUUCGGGUCGUAAAGCACUUUUCUGAGGGAUGAGAAAGGACAGUACCCCAGGAAUAAGCCUCGGCUAACUACGUGCCAGCAGCCGCGGUAAAACGUAGGAGGCAAGCGUUAUCCGGAUUUACUGGGCGUAAAGCGUGUGUAGGCGGUACAGCAAGUUGGAUGUGAAAGCUCCUGGCUUAACUAGGAGAGGUCGUCCAAAACUGUUGAACUAGAGGAUAGCAGAGGAAAAUGGAAUUCCCGGUGUAGUGGUGAAAUGCGUAGAGAUCGGGAGGAACACCAGUGGCGAAAGCGAUUUUCUGGGCUAUGGCUGACGCUCAGACACGAAAGCUAGGGUAGCGAACGGGAUUAGAUACCCCCGUAGUC